RNAcentral lists this ribosomal RNA (276 nucleotides) under uncultured bacterium. RNAcentral describes it as "partial 16S ribosomal RNA". It matches the Rfam family "Bacterial small subunit ribosomal RNA", at positions 9 to 269 of the family's 1533-position model. The record is from RNAcentral.
GAGUUUGAUCGUGGCUCAGGAUGAACGCUGGCGGCGUGCUUAACACAUGCAAGUCGAACGGGAAACAUUUUAUUGAAGCUUCGGCAGAUUUAGCUUGGUUCCAGUGGCGGACGGGUGAGUAACGCGUGGGUAACCUGCCUCAUACAGGGGGAUAACAGUUAGAAAUGACUGCUAAUACCGCAUAAGACCACGGAGUCGCAUGACUCAGUGGGAAAAACUCCGGUGGUAUGAGAUGGACCCGCGUCUGAUUAGGUAGUUGGUGGGUAACGGCCUACC